This 436-nucleotide ribosomal RNA is filed under the name uncultured bacterium. Its description in RNAcentral is "bacterial SSU rRNA". It matches the Rfam family "Bacterial small subunit ribosomal RNA", at positions 8 to 440 of the family's 1533-position model. The record is from RNAcentral.
AGACUUUGAUCCUGGCUCAGAUUGAACGCUGGCGGCAGGCCUAACACAUGCAAGUCGAGCGGUAGCACAGAGAAGCUUGCUUCUUGGGUGACGAGCGGCGGACGGGUGAGUAACGCGUGGGAAUCUACCUGGUAGUGGGGGACAACAGUCGGAAACGACUGCUAAUACCGCAUACGCCCUUCGGGGGAAAGUGGGGGAUCUUCGGACCUCACGCUAUCAGAUGAGCCCGCGUCGGAUUAGCUUGUUGGUGAGGUAAAGGCUCACCAAGGCGAUGAUCCGUAGCUGGUCUGAGAGGAUGACCAGCCACACUGGGACUGAGACACGGCCCAGACUCCUACGGGAGGCAGCAGUGGGGAAUAUUGGACAAUGGGGGCAACCCUGAUCCAGCCAUGCCGCGUGUGUGAAGAAGGCCUUCGGGUUGUAAAGCACUUUCAGC